GCAAGGUUAAAACUCAAAUGAAUUGACGGGGGCCCGCACAAGCGGUGGAGCAUGUGGUUUAAUUCGAUGCAACGCGAAGAACCUUACCAUCUCUUGACAUCCACGGAAGCUUGGGGAGACCCGAGUGUGCCUUCGGGAACCGUGAGACAGGUGCUGCAUGGCUGUCGUCAGCUCGUGUUGUGAAAUGUUGGGUUAAGUCCCGCAACGAGCGCAACCCUUGUCCUUAGUUGCCAGCACGUAAUGGUGGGAACUCAAGGGAGACUGCCGGUGAUAAACCGGAGGAAGGUGGGGACGACGUCAAGUCAUCAUGGCCCUUACGAGAUGGGCUACACACGUGCUACAAUGGUCAGUACAAAGGGUUGCCAACUAGCGAUAGUGAGCUAAUCCCAUAAAGCUGGUCGUAGUCCGGAUUGGAGUCUGCAACUCGACUCCAUGAAGUCGGAAUCGCUAGUAAUCGUAGAUCAGAAUGCUACGGUGAAUACGUUCCCGGGCCUUGUACA
RNAcentral lists this ribosomal RNA (500 nucleotides) under uncultured bacterium. RNAcentral's name for it is "bacterial SSU rRNA". It matches the Rfam family "Bacterial small subunit ribosomal RNA", at positions 888 to 1387 of the family's 1533-position model. The record is from RNAcentral.